RNAcentral lists this ribosomal RNA (524 nucleotides) under uncultured bacterium. Its description in RNAcentral is "partial 16S ribosomal RNA". It matches the Rfam family "Bacterial small subunit ribosomal RNA", at positions 28 to 523 of the family's 1533-position model. The record is from RNAcentral.
GACGAACGCUGGCGGCGUGCCUAAUACAUGCAAGUCGAACGAAGCUGUUUUAACUGGUGCUUGCACCGACUUAAACAACUGAGUGGCGAACGGGUGAGUAACACGUGGGUAACCUGCCCCAAAGCGGGGGAUAACAUUUGGAAACAGAUGCUAAUACCGCAUAACCACAGAAACCACAUGGUUUCUGUGUCAAAGAUGGUUUCGGCUAUCACUUUGGGAUGGACCCGCGGCGUAUUAGCUAGUUGGUAAGGUAAUGGCUUACCAAGGCAAUGAUACGUAGCCGAACUGAGAGGUUGAUCGGCCACAGUGGGACUGAGACACGGGCCAAACUCCUACGGGAGGCAGCAGUAGGGAAUCUUCCACAAUGGACGAAAGUCUGAUGGAGCAACGCCGCAUGAGUGAAGAAGGUUUUCGGAUCGUAAAACUCUGUUGUCAGAGAAGAACGUGUGCGAGAGUAACUGCUCGUGCAGUGACGGUAUCUGGCCAGAAAGCCACGGCUAACUACGUGCCAGCAGCCGCCGUAA